GGCCCGUACGGCUACCAUGCAAGUCGAGCGGAACGAUGGAGCUUGCUCCAGGCGUCGAGCGGCGGACGGGUGAGUAAUGCAUAGGAAUCUGCCCGGUAGUGGGGGAUAACCUGGGGAAACCCAGGCUAAUACCGCAUACGUCCUACGGGAGAAAGCAGGGGAUCUUCGGACCUUGCGCUAUCGGAUGAGCCUAUGUCGGAUUAGCUUGUUGGUGAGGUAAUGGCUCACCAAGGCGACGAUCCGUAGCUGGUCUGAGAGGAUGAUCAGCCACAUCGGGACUGAGACACGGCCCGAACUCCUACGGGAGGCAGCAGUGGGGAAUAUUGGACAAUGGGCGAAAGCCUGAUCCAGCCAUGCCGCGUGUGUGAAGAAGGCUUUCGGGUUGUAAAGCACUUUCAGUGAGGAAGAAGGCCUUGGGGCUAAUACCCCCGAGGAAGGACAUCACUCACAGAAGAAGCACCGGCUAACUCCGUGCCAGCAGCCGCGGUAAUACGGAGGGUGCGAGCGUUAAUCGGAAUUACUGGGCGUAAAGCGCGCGUAGGCGGCGUGAUAAGCCGGUUGUGAAAGCCCCGGGCUCAACCUGGGAACGGCAUCCGGAAC
RNAcentral lists this ribosomal RNA (600 nucleotides) under Halomonas ventosae. Its description in RNAcentral is "bacterial SSU rRNA". It matches the Rfam family "Bacterial small subunit ribosomal RNA", at positions 41 to 633 of the family's 1533-position model. Lineage: Bacteria; Pseudomonadati; Pseudomonadota; Gammaproteobacteria; Oceanospirillales; Halomonadaceae. The record is from RNAcentral.